Molecule: ribosomal RNA, 253 nt
Filed under: uncultured bacterium
Lineage: Bacteria
Description: partial 16S ribosomal RNA
Rfam family: Bacterial small subunit ribosomal RNA
Source: RNAcentral
UACGAAGGGGGCUAGCGUUGCUCGGAAUCACUGGGCGUAAAGCGCACGUAGGCGGCUUAGCAAGUCGGAAGUGAAAUCCCUCGGCUCAACCAAGGAAGUGCUUUCGAAACUGCUGAGCUUGAGUACUUAAGAGGAUCGCGGAAUUCCCGGUGUAGAGGUGAAAUUCGUAGAUAUCGGGAGGAACACCAGUGGCGAAGGCGGCGAUCUGGGAAGAUACUGACGCUGAGGUGCGAAAGCGUGGGGAGCAAACAGG